CCUCUCGUAGCUUAGUUGGUCAGAGCAUUGGUGCGUAAAGCCAAAGGCCCCGGGUUCGAUUCCCGGCGGAGGU
RNAcentral lists this transfer RNA (73 nucleotides) under Agrilus planipennis (emerald ash borer). It matches the Rfam family "tRNA". Rfam says of the family: Transfer RNA (tRNA) molecules are approximately 80 nucleotides in length. Their secondary structure includes four short double-helical elements and three loops (D, anti-codon, and T loops). The record is from Rfam by way of RNAcentral. Lineage: Eukaryota; Metazoa; Arthropoda; Insecta; Coleoptera; Buprestidae.